AAAAAAAUAAGCUGCAGAGUAAGUCAGUACACAAAUGUCAAUCACACAAUAAAAAGUCAAAAAUAAUUUUUAAGAAUAUGCAUGUGCUUAUAAAACUGAUCUGAAGGAUCAGUGUUUGUGCUUGGGAGUGCAUCUGGGAAAGAAACUAGUGCCAUUUUCUGGCUCCUCUAAGCUUUGGAGGUACUCGGGGCUCUGACCUGGACCCCUUCUUUCUCUGUCUCCAUACUUGGUCUAGCUCACCUCACCCAGUCAGAUGGUUAGCAGUGUGCAUUAGCUAUGUGUUAAUGAUGUCCAAAUCCACAUCUCCAGCUUUGGAGCUGCAGACCCAUCCAAUUAACCAUUCCAUCUGUCUCCAAGGACAUCAAAUAUGCAUUUCCAAUGUAAUAUGAGAAAAACAACUCCAGAUUCCUCCCAUGCCCAACUUACUACUCUCUGGUAAUUUUCCUCUCAGUAGAUGGUACCACCAUCCAUGAAAAUACAGAUAGUAACCAUGGUUCUUCUAUCUCCCACGUCCGCCACAUCUACUCAAUAUAUCUCACCUGUUAAAUCUGCAAAAUGACCACGUCCCUCUAAUGCUAACACUGCCAGGCUAGUCCCAGGGACCAUCAUAUCUCCAAAAAACCACAGAGGCAUCUUCUGACCUCUCUGCUUCAACUCUCUUACACUUACUGUCAACAGGUGGCACGAUUGUUUAAAAAUAUCAAUAUAACUAUUUCACCUCCCUUUUAAACUCAUGCAAAGGGACUUUUGUUUCUGGCAAUACGAGGGACUAGAUUUCCUCUGAUAUCCUUCCAAUAAAGAUUUUCCUAAAUGAUGGAUACAGAAAAAAUUAGAUUUACUACUCUGAUGGGACAAGCAAAGAAAAUCUAGAGAAGCCAGAAAUGAUGAGAAAGUGUGAAUCCAGAAACGUAUUUCAGAAUUGACUCUGGGUCUUGGGAGCAAAUCUGGUCUACAGAAGCUGAGAGGCAGGUAUUUUGUGUGUGGUAAAAUAUACAUAACAUAAAAUUUACCACUUUAAAGUGUACAGUCAAGUGGCAUUGAAUACAUUCACCUUGUUGUGCAAUCACUACCAUCCAUCUCCAGAACUUUCAUCAUUCAAACUGAAACUCUGUAUCAAUUAAACACUAACUCCCCAUCUUCUCCUUCCCCCAGCCUCCGGUAGCCACUGUGCUACUUUCUGUCUCUGAAUUUGACUAUUCUAGGUACCUCAUAUUAGUGGAAUCAUACAAUAUUUGUCCUUUUGUGUCUGGCUUCUUUCACUUAACAUAAUGUCUUCAAGGUUCAUCUAUGUUUUAACACGUAACAGAAUUUCCUUUUUUUAAGAAUUUCCUUUUUUAAGACUAUUCCAUUUUACAUACUGUUGACCUAAGCAAAUAAAACAGCCUGUUAUUUCACCAGCAAAAGGGGUUUAUUCAAGAAUAGCAGAAGAAUUACAAUUCAGGACAAACUAUAGCAAAAGCCAUAGGCAAGUUCAGCACACAAAGGAGAGAAAUGUUAUUUUAUAGAGAAAAAGGAGUAAGUUGGGAGGGGUUGUUUUGAACAAAAGGCCAUUUGUAGCAAGUGAGAGUUCACGGUGGUGAUGAUUUCUCCUGGGCUGAGUUGCUGGGGUAGUCAAUUUCUUGUUGGGAAUGCAAUGGACAUAUUUUCCUGUUGGGGUCUGUAAUUGAUGAUUCUUUCUGUAAUUGAUAUCAAGUGGUAGUGCAUGAAGGCUCCCCCUUCUAGCCUCCCAAUCUCAUUUAAAAUGAGGUUUCCUUUAUUCUAGUCCACUGUGUAAGGAAGUAAGUACACUGUGCCGAAAACCCUGGCUUCCAGCUGUUUCAGAUCAUCUAGGUAAGGGCCUCACACACUGCAGUUCACGGCCUACACUCAGGCUCUGCCUCCCGUGUCAGGAAAGACUGUCCCUGCUGAACUCAGAUGCCCAUAGUUGUGGAGGGAUUUCUUCCAAGGAGAGAUUGAAAACCUUUCCCUCUCUCUGGGACAGUUUAGCUGUUACUUUUGGACAGUGUGGGUACACAGUUUAGAACAACUGCUUGUGGCUCUUUAAUAUAGUUUUUAAGUCACUUUUAAUUCUAUGCCAAGCACUCAAGACACUGGCUGUCAAAUGCAUGUCAUGAAGGAAAACCUGCUGACCUCACCACGUCAAGAGGUGAAACUGACUUUUUCCCAGGGGAGCUUUUAAACAUUUCACAAGGCUGGGAGAGCGUCUCUAUCGCACACAUUCAAGGAAAGUGCUCUGUGUGUAAAACCUCCAGCCGGUAGCUCUGAGGAUCAUCCUGGUAACUUCCUUUCCACGCAUGGCAGAUCAUGGCCUCCCUCAGGCUGUCUCCCAUGGCGUGAAAGCGUGUUCCUGCUGCACUCAUCUGCCCACAGCUGUGAAGGGACUUCUUCCAAGGAGGGAUUGAAAACCCCUUCCUACCGCUGGGAGAGAUUAUCAGUAACUUUCAUUCAAUGCGGGUUCAUGGCUUAGAAAAACUUCUCCUUGUGGCUCUGUAAUAUCAUCUUCAUGAGUGACUUUUAAUCCAGCGCUGAGCAGUCUACACACAGGCUCUCACAGGCAUGUGAUGAGAGAAAACUAUCUCUGAGCUGAGCUUGCCAGGAACUGCAAGUGACAUUUGACUAGGAGAGCUUUGAAACAUUUCAAUACUGCUGGGAGACAACUUCUAUCACACACAUUGAACGAAAGUACAUUGUGCAGAACAGCCCCGGCUUCUAGCUCUUUUGGAUCAUCUAGGUAAGUGCCUCACACAUCGCAGUUCUCAGCCUUCGCCCAGGCUCCCUCCUAUGUCAUGAAAGCAGGUUCCUACUGCACUCAGUUGCCUGUGUCUGUGAAGGGACUUCUCCCAGGGAGAGACUGAAAACUGCUCACUAGCGCAGCCACCGAAUGUCUCUAACUUUAUACAAUGCGGGUACACGGUUCAGAAGAACUCCUGCUUGUGGCUCUUGAACAUCGUCUUCAAGAGUGACUUUGAAUUCAGUGCGGAGCAGUCUAGACACAGGCUCUCACACGGAUGUGAUGAAGGAAAACUAUUGUGACAUCACCACACCAGGAGGUUCACGUGACAUUAUCCCAGGAGACGUUUCAUGCAUUUAAGUACAGCUGGGAGAGAAUAUCUAUAAGCUCCAUUCGAGGAAAGUACACUGUGCAGAAUAGCCCCGGCUUCCAGCUGUAUCAGAUCAUCUAGGGCGGAGCCUCACACAUUGCAUUUCGUGGCCUUCACUCAGGCUUUCUCUCCCACGCCAUGAAAACAUGUUCCUGUUGCACUUUGCUCUCCAUCACUAUGAAGGGACUUCUUCCACGGAGAGAUUGAAAAGCCUUCACUGCCUCUGGGAAUGAUUAUAUGUAACUUGUUUUCUAGGCAGGUACACAGUUUAGAAAAUCUGCUUGUGGCUGUUUAAUACCAUCUUCAAAAGUCACUUUUAAUUCACUGCUGAGCAGUCUAGACACAGACUCUCCCACGCAUUUGAUGAAGGAAAACAUUAGUGACCUCACCGCGCCAGGAGGAGGAAGUGACGUCUUCCCAGAGGAGUUUCUAAACAUUUCAAUACAGAUGGGAGAGAAUAUCUAUGAGCUCCCUUCUAGGAAACUUCGCUGUGCAGAAUCAUCCCGCCUUCUAGCUGUAUCAGAUCAGCUAGGUCAGAGCCUCACACAUUGCAGUUCACGGCCUUCACUCAGGAUUUCUAACCCAGGACAGGCAAACAUGUUCCUAGUGCACUCUACUCUCCAUAGCUCUGAAGAAACUUCUUCGAAGGAGUUCUUGAAAUACUUUCACAACCAAUGGGAAUGAUUAUCUGUAAAUUUUCUACAAUGUGGGUAUAAGAUUUAGAAAAACUCCUGCUUGUGGGUCUUUAAUAUGGUCUACAUAAGUGACAUUUAACCGAAUGCUGAGCAGUCUUGCAGACACGUAGGCUCUCAGCAGCAUGUGAUGAAGGAAAACUAUUACUGAGCUCAACUUCCCAGGAGCUGCAAGUGGCAUUUGACUAGCUUUUAAAUGUUUCACUGCUGCUGGGACACAAUAUCUACAGGACAUAGUCAAGGGAAGUGCACCAUGCAGAAAAGCCCUGGCUUCCAGCCAUUUCAGAUCAUCUAAGUAAGCGACCCACUUAUUGCAGUUCACAACCUUCGCUCAGGCAUCUGUCUCCCUUGUCAUGGAAUAUUUUCCCUGCUGAACUCAAGUGUCUGUAGUUGUGAACAGAAUUCUUCGAAGGAGAGACUGAGAACAUUUCUCUACCCUUGGGACAGAUUAUUUGUUGCUUUCGGACAAUACGAGUACGUGGUUGAGCAUAAUAAAUGCUUGUGGUUCUUUAGUAUCAUUCUCUUAAGUGACUUUUAAUUCUAUGCCUAGCAGUCAAGACGCUGGCUGUCAAGCGCAUGUGGUGAAGGAAAACUACUGCUGACCUCACCAUGCCAGGGGUUGAAGCGACGUUUUCCCAGGAGAGGUUUUAAACAUUUCACUACUGCUGGGAAAUAGUAUCUCUAACACACAUUCAAGGAAACUACACUGUGCAGAAAGCCCUGCCUUCCAGCAGCUUCAGACCGUCCAGGUGAGUGGAUCACACAUUGCAGCUCUGGGUCUUCACUCAGGCUCUCUCUCCCAUGACGUGAAAGCACGUUCCUGCUGCGUUCAGCAGUCCAUAGCUGUGAAGGGACUCCUUCCAACGAGAGCCUGAGAAGCUGUUCCUGCCACGGGGAAUGAUUAUCUGUAACUUUCACACAAUGUGGUACAUGGCUUAGAAAAACUUCUGCUUUGGGCUCUUUAAUGUCAUCUUUACAAGUGACUUUUGGUUCAAUGCUGAGCAGUCUAAAUCGAGGCUCUCACAUGCGUGUGAUGAAGGAAAACUGUUGGUGACCUAACCAUCCCAGGUGGGGGAAGUGACAUUUUCCCAGAAGAGCUUUUAAGCAUUUCACCACGGCUGUGAAAAAUAUCUAUAACACACACUCAAGGGAAGCACAGUUUGCAGAAAUGCCCUGGCUUCAAGCUGUUUCAGAUCAUCUAGUUAAGUACCUGAUACAUUGCACUUCAUGGCGUUCACUGAUGCUCUGUCUCCCUUGUCAUGCAAGGUUGUCCCUGCUGAACUCUGAUGCCCAUAGCUGUGAAGGGUCUUUUUCCAAGGAGAGAUUGAAAAGUGUUCACUACCAUGGGGACUGAGUAUCUCUGCCUUUCAUACAGGGUACACACUUUAGAAAAACCCCUGCUCAUGGCUCUUUAAAUCAUAUUCAUAGGUGACUUUUUUUCUUCUUCUCCCCAAAGCCCCCCUGUACAUAGUUGUAUAUUCUAGUUGUAGGUCCUUCUGGCUCUGCCAUGUGGGAUGCUAUCUCAGCAUGGCUUGGCAAGUGGUGCCAUGUCUGUGGCCAGACUCUGAACUAAUGAAACCCUGGGCCACUGAAAUGGAGCACACAAACUUAACCACCGGGCCCUGGGACUGGCCCCCAUAAAUGAAUUUUAAUUCCAUGCCGAGCAGUCUACACACAGGCUCUCUCACAUGCAUGUGAUGAAGAACAACCAUUACUUAGCUCAUCUUGCCAAUGGCAACAAGUGACAUUUUCCUAGGAGAGCUUUUAAACAUUUCACUACAACUGGGAAAGACUAUCUAUAAGCUCCAUUCAAGGAAAGUACACUGUGCAGCGUCGUCCUGGCUUCUAGCUGUUUCAGAUCAUGUAGGUAAGAGUCUCAUUCAUGGCCGUCCCUCAGGCUCUUAACCCAUGACAUGAAAGCAUGCUCCUGCUGCCCUCCACUGCCCAUAGCUGUGAAGGGACUUCUUCCAAGGAGAGAUUGAAAACCUUUCACUACCUCUAGGACAGGUUAUCUGUAACUUUUGUACAGUGAGGGUACAUGGUUUAGACAAACUCCUGCUUGUGGCUCUUUAACAUCGUCUUCAUAAUUGUCUUCUAACUCAGGCCUGAGCAGUCUAGUCACAGGCUCUCACAGGCCCUUGGUGAGGGAAAGCUAUGGCUGAGCGCAGGUGGCCAGGUGGUGGAAGUAACAUUUUUUAGGAGAGCUUUUAACCGUUUCACUACAGCUGGGAGAGAAUAUCUAUAAUAUCCAUUCAUUGAAAGUACAAUUUGCAGAAAAGCUCUGACCUGUAGCUGUUUCAGAUCAUCCUGGUAAGUUCCUUUACACACAUUGCAGUUCACACCCCUCAUGCAGGCUCUAUCUCCUGUGUCUUGAAAGCAUGCUCCUGCUGAACUGAGUUGCCCGAAGCUGUGAAUGGACUUCUUCCAAGGAGAGACUGAAAGCCAUUCACUGCACUGGGAGCAGGUAAUCUGUAACAUCUGUUUUAUGAGAGUUUAUGUGGGAGAAACACCCUUUAUUGUGCCUCUUUAGGAUCAUCUUGAAUAGUGACUUCUAAUGCCUUGCUGUUCAGUCUACACAGAGGCUCUCACUCGCAUGUGAUGAAGGAAAACUAUUGCUGAAUUCAGCUUGCCAGAGCUGGAAGUGACAUCGUCCUGGGAGAAACUUUAAUCUUUUCACUACAGCUGAGAGAAUAUCUAGAACAUCCACUCUUGGAAUGUCCACUGUGCAGAGCAGCUUUGGUUUCUAGCAGUUUAGGAUCAUCCUGGUAAGUGCUUUUGCUCACAUUGCGGUUCACUGCCUUCCCUCAGGCUCUCUCCCAUGUCGUGGAAGCAUGCUCCUGCUGAACUCAGAUGCCCACAGCUAUGAAGGGGCUGCUUCAAUGGAGAGAUUGAAAAAUUUUCACUUCAACUGGGCUAGAUUAUAUGUACCUUUCAGUCGAUGUGGUUACACUGUGUAGAAAAUCUCCAGCUUGUGGCUCUUCAGUAACAUCUUCAUAAUUGACUUUUCAUACAUGGCAUUCAGUCUACACAGAAUCGCUCACUCUCAUGUGAUGAAGGAAAACUAUUGCUGAGCUCACCCUGACAGGAGCUGGAGGUGACAUUUUCCUAGGAGAGAUUUUUAACAUUUUACUACAGCUAGGGGAGAAUAUCUGUAGCAUCCAUUCAAGGAAAGUACACUGUGCAGAAAAGCUCUGGCUUGUAGCUGGUUAGGAUCGUCCUUCUAAGUGCCUUCUCACACAUUGUAUUUCUGAGGCUUCAUUCAGAUUGUCUCUUCUAUUUCAUGAAAUCAUGUUCCUGCUGAACUCGGCUGCCAGUAUCUGUGAAGGGACUUCUUCCAAGGGGAGAUUUAAAAGUCUUCACAACAGCCAGGACAGUGUCAGGGCAGGGAAAAUCUCCUUUCUUCCCUUCUUAGGUUCUUAUGGCUGGACUAAGAGUAAAAUUGACACAAGAUCAGAUUAACAAGAGAAAAACCGAGUUUACUACAUACCUUUUGGAGACCAUAAAGAAGUGAUGUUCAGAGAGUGAAGAAAACAGGCAGGAUAUACAUCUUUUAUGCCAAGAAACGUAAAUUUGUGAAAAAUUGACAGGACAAAGAAACUUACGUGUGGGGCAUGUAACUAGUGGGGAAUUUAGGAUGAGAUAGUAAAUUAGCAAGGUUUGUUUAUGCAGCUUCUCAGCCAUCAGUCCCCCAGCUCUGGUGAUAAGGAUGCAGAGAGAAGACCUUUCACAUAGGAGAUUCAUUUCCUGCUUUCAGGGGAACAGAGACAGGAGGGUCAGAAAGCCCUUUGAACUUCAGGAGUAACUUCAAUUCAAAAUAAUAAAGCCACUGUGGGAUCUUUUGGGGUGGCCUGCCCUGGGCCCCAACAAUAGCUAUUAACUGUACUGCCCUGGGCCUCAGGGUUUAUAGCCCAAGGCAGUCCCAUAGCCUCUGGAAAGAAAGGCAGAGGGAUUGUUCUCAGGGCCUUGUUGGACCUCUCCUAAUUUAGACCAGUUAAUAGUUGGCUGGCUUACUAUUUGUGUGGCUUUCAAAAGCAGACUCCAAAAAUAUCCUUGCUUUUCUUGAUCAUCAGGGUUAUUGGGAUUCCACUCAGGGUUAGUCUCCAGCACAGCCCUCUCAUGAGGCCUGUGAAAUUCUGACCCAGGGACAUAUUUCUUUCUGCUCCAGCCUGAUGUGCAGCCCACAGCAAAGUGACUGGGCACCCAACCUCUCCUACCACUGUCCCCACCACUGCUGCUCAUGGCCCCUGGGCUGAGCCAGGCUUGGCUGAGCAUAGAGGAGCCCGCCUGCCCUCAGGCCACCCCUCCCAUCACCACCAUGACAGGACAGGGAGCACUGGGCUGCCCCUCUCCGCCUUCCUCACCACCUUCCCAUCCACACUGCCUUCCCCCCUGGGCCACCGCCACUACCAAUAACUCUGAGGACAUGCCAAUUUCAAUCAAACCAACAAACACACACACAAAAGACAAACACAUCCACACAAAGACAAACCCGACUCCUGUAGGUCAAAAACAAAAGGUGAAGUCCAACAAUCCCCUGGAUCUCUCCCAAAGGUGUCUGCUUUCACACACUCAAAAUGCAAAUGGAGAUACAAAGAUUGACAACUGGGAGUGUCGUAAUAACUCAUGAAGCAAAUGCAAAACCAACUCCAGAAGGACAAAAACAGAAGAUGAAGUCCAAGAAAACCCUGGAUCUCUCCCAAAUGAUAGACUCUCCUUUCUAAUGAAUCACUCACACAAAAGCAAAUGGAGAGACAGGGAAUUCACAACUGCACAUGUCAUGGCAACUCAACUGACAACAGACUCACAUAUAAGACAAAUACAUACUCACACACAAGGACAAAAGCCCAACCUGUUUCUCCAAUCCAAGGGAGCGUUGCACCUAUGGUGGCAGAUACUGGCAGGGAGGGAGGAGCAGGAGAGCAAGUCCCCCAGGCAAAGACUUUCCCACAGCUUCUGGGGACCACCAACCAGUGGAACCCUCACCAGGGCCGUCCAGCCACAGGCACAAGAUUCCUGACUGGCUUGCCAAAAUUGAUACCAAACCUCUUAAUCUCAUUUGUG
This 8854-nucleotide long non-coding RNA is filed under the name Equus asinus (donkey). RNAcentral's name for it is "lncRNA (ENSEASG00005035353.1)". The record is from RNAcentral. Lineage: Eukaryota; Metazoa; Chordata; Mammalia; Perissodactyla; Equidae.